AUUGAACGCUGGCGGCAUGCUUUACACAUGCAAGUCGAACGGUAACAGCACUUCGGUGGCUGACGAGUGGCGAACGGGUGAGUAAUACAUCGGAACGUGCCUAGUAGUGGGGGAUAACUACUCGAAAGAGUAGCUAAUACCGCAUGAGAUCUAAGGAUGAAAGCAGGGGACCUUCGGGCCUUGCGCUACUAGAGCGGCUGAUGGCAGAUUAGGUAGUUGGUGGGAUAAAAGCUUACCAAGCCGACGAUCUGUAGCUGGUCUGAGAGGACGACCAGCCACACGGGGACUGAGACACGGCCAAGACUCCUACGGGAGGCAGCAGUGGGGAAUGUUGGACAAUGGGCGCAAGCAUGAUCCAGCAAUGCCGCGUGCAGGAUGAAGGCCUUCGGGUUGUAAACUGCUUUUGUACGGAACGAAAAGCCCUCUUCUAAUACAGGAGGGUCAUGACGGUACCGUAAGAAUAAGCACCGGCUAACUACGUG
RNAcentral lists this ribosomal RNA (482 nucleotides) under uncultured bacterium. Its description in RNAcentral is "partial 16S ribosomal RNA". It matches the Rfam family "Bacterial small subunit ribosomal RNA", at positions 30 to 507 of the family's 1533-position model. The record is from RNAcentral.